UACGUAGGGUGCGAGCGUUAAUCGGAAUUACUGGGCGUAAAGCGUGCGCAGGCGGUUUUGUAAGCCAGAUGUGAAAGCCCCGGGCUUAACCUGGGAAUGGCAUUUGGGACUGCAAGGCUUGAGUGCGGCAGAGGAGACUGGAAUUCCUGGUGUAGCAGUGAAAUGCGUAGAUAUCAGGAGGAAUACCGAUGGCGAAGGCAAUCCCCUGGGCCUGCACUGACGCUCAUGCACGAAAGCGUGGGGAGCAAACAGG
RNAcentral lists this ribosomal RNA (253 nucleotides) under uncultured bacterium. RNAcentral describes it as "partial 16S ribosomal RNA". It matches the Rfam family "Bacterial small subunit ribosomal RNA", at positions 524 to 776 of the family's 1533-position model. The record is from RNAcentral.